RNAcentral lists this ribosomal RNA (175 nucleotides) under uncultured bacterium. Its description in RNAcentral is "partial 16S ribosomal RNA". It matches the Rfam family "Bacterial small subunit ribosomal RNA", at positions 337 to 524 of the family's 1533-position model. The record is from RNAcentral.
UCCUACGGGAGGCAGCAGUGGGGAAUAUUGCACAAUGGGCGCAAGCCUGAUGCAGCAACGCCGCGUGAGGGACGACGGCCUUCGGGUUGUAAACCUCUUUUAGUAGGGAAGAAGCGAAAGUGACGGUACCUGCAGAAAAAGCACCGGCUAACUACGUGCCAGCAGCCGCGGUAAU